Molecule: ribosomal RNA, 550 nt
Filed under: uncultured bacterium
Lineage: Bacteria
Description: bacterial SSU rRNA
Rfam family: Bacterial small subunit ribosomal RNA
Source: RNAcentral
UAGGGAAUCUUCGGCAAUGGACGGAAGUCUGACCGAGCAACGCCGCGUGAGUGAAGAAGGUUUUCGGAUCGUAAAGCUCUGUUGUAAGAGAAGAACGAGUGUGAGAGUGGAAAGUUCACACUGUGACGGUAUCUUACCAGAAAGGGACGGCUAACUACGUGCCAGCAGCCGCGGUAAUACGUAGGUCCCGAGCGUUGUCCGGAUUUAUUGGGCGUAAAGCGAGCGCAGGCGGUUAGAUAAGUCUGAAGUUAAAGGCUGUGGCUUAACCAUAGUAGGCUUUGGAAACUGUUUAAUUUGAGUGCAAGAGGGGAGAGUGGAAUUCCAUGUGUAGCGGUGAAAUGCGUAGAUAUAUGGAGGAACACCGGUGGCGAAAGCGGCUCUCUGGCUUGUAACUGACGCUGAGGCUCGAAAGCGUGGGGAGCAAACAGGAUUAGAUACCCUGGUAGUCCACGCUGUAAACGAUGAGUGCUAGGUGUUAGACCCUUUCCGGGGUUUAGUGCCGUAGCUAACGCAUUAAGCACUCCGCCUGGGGAGUACGACCGCAAGGUUG